UACGUAGGGUGCGAGCGUUGUCCGGAAUUAUUGGGCGUAAAGGGCUCGUAGGCGGUCUGUUACGUCGGGAGUGAAAACUCGGGGCUCAACCCCGAGCCUGCUUCCGAUACGGGCAGACUAGAGGUAUGCAGGGGGGAAUGGAAUUCCUGGUGUAGCGGUGAAAUGCGCAGAUAUCAGGAGGAACACCGGUGGCGAAGGCGGUUCUCUGGGCAUUACCUGACGCUGAGGAGCGAAAGUGUGGGGAGCGAACAGG
Molecule: ribosomal RNA, 253 nt
Filed under: uncultured bacterium
Lineage: Bacteria
Description: partial 16S ribosomal RNA
Rfam family: Bacterial small subunit ribosomal RNA
Source: RNAcentral